RNAcentral lists this ribosomal RNA (252 nucleotides) under Klebsiella pneumoniae. RNAcentral's name for it is "partial 23S ribosomal RNA". It matches the Rfam family "Bacterial large subunit ribosomal RNA", at positions 1399 to 1653 of the family's 2925-position model. Lineage: Bacteria; Pseudomonadati; Pseudomonadota; Gammaproteobacteria; Enterobacterales; Enterobacteriaceae. The record is from RNAcentral.
AGGCCGAAAGGCGUAGUCGAUGGGAAACAGGUUAAUAUUCCUGUACUUGGUGUUACUGCGAAGGGGGGACGGAGAAGGCUAUGUUAGCCGGGCGACGGUUGUCCCGGUUUAAGCAUGUAGGCUGAUUGUCCAGGCAAAUCCGGAUAAUCAAGGCUGAGGUGUGAUGACGAGGCACUACGGUGCUGAAGUAACAAAUGCCCUGCUUCCAGGAAAAGCCUCUAAGCAUCAGGUAACAUUAAAUCGUACCCCAAA